UAUCAAGGACAGCAGCGACACCCAGCUCCCUCCUGACGCUGCCACGCACCUCUCCAGUUUUCAGCGUUCACAGUUAACCUAUGAGUUUUCGUCAGCUCGCCGCCCAUGAGAACUCGGUAAGCAAUGACAUGGCAACGGUGACGGGUGGAGUGGCGCACGUCUCUUCCAGUUGUGAAAUAAGUGGACACGAGCAGUGAGAAUCACGGUUUACAGCACCAGUAGUUGCCUGGCUACGUAUGUCCAUGCAUCGAAACUGCAUCUUGGUUUGGCUUCAAAGACGGUACCGUUGGCAUUCGGGGUUAGUAUAUCUGCAAGUUACAAAUGUGUUUGAUGAAUGUGAGUAGUAUAGAUAUAUUUAGAAUGGAAAGUAUUUUGAUAAUAUGAUGUGUUUGGAACUAUGUGUAAAACUUUUGCAAAACAAAAAGGCAA
RNAcentral lists this long non-coding RNA (429 nucleotides) under Oryza brachyantha (malo sina). Its description in RNAcentral is "long non-coding RNA (OBRA_LNC001104)". The record is from RNAcentral. Lineage: Eukaryota; Viridiplantae; Streptophyta; Magnoliopsida; Poales; Poaceae.